AGAUUAGCUAUGUCAACACUAUCCGCUUUCCUCUUCAAUUUUCGUCAUCUUCUUUAUUUUCAACUUU
This is a long non-coding RNA of Aricia agestis (brown argus), 67 nucleotides long. RefSeq lists it as uncharacterized. The record is from RefSeq and is a predicted model, not a curated record. Lineage: Eukaryota; Metazoa; Arthropoda; Insecta; Lepidoptera; Lycaenidae. The transcript has 3 exons.